This 75-nucleotide transfer RNA is filed under the name Pyrobaculum islandicum DSM 4184. RNAcentral's name for it is "tRNA-Phe (GAA) (tRNA-Phe-GAA-1-1)". It matches the Rfam family "tRNA". Rfam says of the family: Transfer RNA (tRNA) molecules are approximately 80 nucleotides in length. Their secondary structure includes four short double-helical elements and three loops (D, anti-codon, and T loops). The record is from RNAcentral. Lineage: Archaea; Thermoproteati; Thermoproteota; Thermoprotei; Thermoproteales; Thermoproteaceae. RNAcentral also lists the same sequence under 1 other name.
GCGGCCGUAGCUCAGCGGGAGAGCGCCCGGCUGAAGACCGGGCGGGCCCGGGUUCAAAUCCCGGCGGCCGCACCA